AGUCUUGCAAAUGAGUUUUCAUCCAGAAACUCAAGAAACCCACUGGCUCGAAAUAUUCGGACAAUUUGUGAACGCCAUAUGAGGUAAUUAUCAGUAGACAGUUGAGAAGAUACCAGAAUGUGGAUUUUUGAUAAGACGAACUUGAGUUUUGGAGAUAAGAGGGGAUCAUCAUCGCCUCUUGUGGUAUCGUCUAUUCCUUCGGUGCUUGCUCGCCUGAUUCGGGUAGGAGGUCCUGAAUUCAUCUCUGGUUCUUCGUCUUCUUCAAUAUCAGGUAACGCUACCUCAAGAUGGAUUCAAGGCAUAUGAUGAUCAUCUAACCAGUUUUACUGAAAGUGAAAACCGGUGUUACUGAUUUUGCCAGAUGAAGAAAAGAAAAAAAAAUCAAGAAGACUCCAGAGAAUCUCCAUCUUCGUUGCAAAUCUUGGAAGCUAUGGUUUCAAAUCUAUAUGCAGGAACUUUGCUCUGAUACCAAGAUAGAAUUUGAGAAGAAAGAAUAGAAACAAAAACUAUUUUACAAAGAAGAUCUGGGAUGAAACUACAGUAACAGAGAAAACGGAAAGAAUGGAGUUAAUCACAAUAGUUCAGAAUUACAUUCAUUUAUAUAGUAAUGGCAUGUAUUCUGGAUUGUUCUAUGAUCCGGUUGAUCCAGCUGGAGUUGAUGUAGUCUGUCCAGCUGGGAAUGAAGCUGAAUCAGUUGAUCCUCUAACUGAUUCAGUUAAGUCAGUUUGCUUGAAGCUUCUAGAACUCAAUAAUACUCAGGCUAAUUUUAUUACUUAUUAUAUUUAUAUAUGGACUUACUCCCUUUCCCACGGAAACAAAAGUUGUAAUACUGUUGAGAUAAUAUAAUUAGAAAAGUUGUUUCUAAAGUUUCUAAUCCAACAAUCUGUCUAUCGUUAAGUUACUGUAGCCUCUUACAUUUUUUAGAAUAAUUAUUGUACACGUUAGCAAGCUUCACCUCUGCAUAAUUAUCGAAGUUCGAGUUGAAAAUUUUUCUUUUUCUUUCCGAGUCGGCCCUUUUUCCUUAUUUUUUAUUAAUCUUAUGAAAAUGCAUGGUGAAGUUUGUGAGUCAAAAUUUCGGCCAGUAGCUUAGCUAGAUGAGAAGAAUAUUUGCAACUUAUGGUAUGGAUGGUCUGAAAAACGUAAUAGAAAUGCAGCCAACCAAAAAGAAGUCCAAGUAUGCAACUAUAAGAUGGAUCCAGCUACUAAUUCUUGAUGCCCAUUUUGAAGGUCAAAAAGUUAGCUCAAGGGUUCAACUCCGCAUGGGUCCCUAAAGGAUUCUCCUAAUAUCAGACGGAACAUCUAGCCAUGAGAAAAUUUCUGCAAAUUUCAAAGUCAUUAAAGAUUUGUAGUGUAGAAUUGAAAUUUGACCUUUCAUGUUUCAAUGUCACAUCAUGCACAAGCGUGCCAUCUUGAGAACGACUAAUCGGCCAUUUUAUCUUAAAAACUUGUCCACAUUUGGAAAAAAUCAACAGGUCACCUAUUAGACAAUGCUAAUUUAGUGUUAGAAGAUAAGGUUCUCCCAUCCACAUCAUCUUGAUGAGUGGGUUAUAAGUAAUGCUUUCUGUAUCCGCAUCUAAAGUUGAUAAGAUAAAUUGAGUUCAAAUUCAGGUCAAUAAGUAAGCUUCAAACUCAUAUCCAAACUCGAUUAUUGAUCGGAUUUGAGUUUUUCCGAGUUUCAAUUUAGUACAUGAUUUUAAUGGGCCUACUAGCAAAAGCUUAACAAUUUUCAAAACAGGGAGAGCUCUUAUCACAGUAGGCUGCAGUACAUGCAGCAUCAAAGGAGUUAUGAGAAGUGAAUGGUGGGUUUAGAAAAAAAUUGAACUUAAAUUUCUACUUAUUUUUACUUUCAUUGGAACAAAAUUAAAAUCUAAACAUAGGUUGAGAUUUUGGAAUGACAAUAGCAACAAGCGUGAGUUAAGGAGAGCAUGUACGAAAAAAGAAGUAAAUUCGAAUAUGAAAAAAAAAUUACAUAUAUACCCUCUAAAAUAUAUAAAAUUAUAUGAAUACCAUCGUAAAAUUACUAUUUAUAUGUAUACCAUUAUAAAAUACUUAUUUUGCAUGUAUACCUUUUUUUUACUUUUUUUAUAUACGUACCUGAUGGGGGGCAAAAUGGAUCGUCCAACCCACAACUAAAAGGCCAUUCAGUUUCGGCCCAAUAAAAGUCAAUGCCAAUCGGUUGAAUCUUCACUUUGGCCCAGAAUCAGCUCGACUUCGGGACUCCGCCAAAAGCUACACCAACUUCAGAUAUUCACCGACUCCCCCGACCAAGUUUGGAGUGCCUCCAGUAUUCGACGACCCACCCCGACCAAACUCGGAGCGCCUACCCCAAUAGUAUGCCCCGACCAUCGAGCUCAGGGCACUCCACCGAGCACAUCUCAGAAUUCGGAAAGCCGAGCUACUCUUAGCACCCGUCAAGCUGACCUCGUCAAAACGCAUGAUGCGACUUUUCAACGAGCUCGGCCUCGCUAGCGAUCGCACCCAUGUGCGCGCCUACGCCCAUCUACGUGGCCGUACAUCACAACACUACUGUGCCACGUCUCCAUAGUCGACCUUCAAUAGUCAGACGACACCUUGACUACUCCGGCCAUACCCUGCUAUGACUGUCAACACCCUACCAUUCUCAAGAACGGGCAGUACUACACGCCACCAACCAGCCUGAGCUGCGCGUCGUCCGGCUUUGAGCCACGUGCCCUCAUGAUGAGGGUCGACAGUGCCUCUGCCACCUGGGCCUCUCCACUGAGACUAUAAAUAGCUUGAUCAAGUAACUUCUAAGGAACUUUUUUGGCGGGACCAAAUUUACCCUACUCUAACUUAAUCGUCGGAGGGCCUUCACCGGAAACACCGGUGAGGCUUUGUGCAGGUCCACGGCCGUCGCGCAGGAGGCGGCUUCCGUUUUUUCCUUCCAACUCCACCGGCGUGGUCACCCUCGGGCCAAAUUUGAACCACAACAGUACCCAUACUAUCUAACACCAUUAAAAAAUAAACGAUUUAAAAUUAAAAUGACUAAAAUACCCUUACAAGUAGACCUGCAAAAAGAAAAUUUUAUAUGGAUAUAUAUGCAAAUAGCAACUUUGCAUGGGUAUUCGUGCAAUUACACAUAUCUAAAAGGGUAUACACUUUUUGAAAAAAAUCAAUAAAAAAUAUCAAAAUCCAAUAAAGAAAAUUCAUUAAUAAAAAAAACAACAAAUAUUAAAUUAUGUUAAUAUCAACUCUUAUAGAAUAAAUCAUAUUGCUUUUACAAAAUUUUCGCCUAAAAAACAAACAACAACUUAGCAUCUAUAAAUCGCUAAAAAAAUGGGGAUUGAAUAGGGGAUUGGCAAAUUUUAAUCAAGUUUUACUUUUUAAAUAGGGGAUUGAAUACCCGGAUCGAAUCAGAGUUCACGCCGCCCGCCCUGAACAAAUAGGAUACUCUUAUAAAAAAUUGCACGAAUAUCCUCAUAAAGUUGCUAUUUGCAUGUAUACCCAUAUAACUUUUUUUUGCAUAUCUGCCCAUAAAGAUAUUUCAGUCAUUUUAAUUUUAAGCUAUUUAUUUUUUAACGACGUUAAAUGAUAUGUGCAAAAAAAAAAAAAGAAAGAGAAGAAUAUACAUGUAAAUAGUAAUUUUACGAGGAUAUUUAUACAAAUUUGUAUAUUUAGGUAGGUGUACAUGCAAAAAAUUUCAAAAAAAUCAUGUAGCUAAAUUUUUUUUAUAUUCCUAUGUUUACACUUAAUUUGAAUCCAUAUUUAAUUGUUGUAAAAUAAUCAUAUUAGAUUAUCUGAUUUUUAAAUGUCAUUACACCCCUAGUUAUAUGGUAUUCCAAUUGGUCGUUUAUUCUUUUCCCCAUUUUGUCUCCUAUCCAGAUUCCGGAGAAGGCGGCUUAGGUUUUAGGAAUGUAUACGGCAACCAGCUGCGAGAGGGAAAGAGAUAUAUGGCUAAUCUGACGGAAAAGUAAUCAAGUUACAACAAUAAAUACAACGACCUCUUGUCUGACCGUGACCAUGCAAGCAUUCUUUGAAUAAAUUUUAUACAUAACUCCAAGACCAACAAAGCAACGUGCACUUCACGUAUCUCUCUUACUGAAUCAUAAAUUAGUCAUCUUAUUCCUUCUCAAAGGUAAGAAUGAGAGAUUUUUUAGGAGGUAUAUAUGUUCUAGAGCUCCUAGAUAAGCGAGAUCAUUAAGAUUCUUUAGCCCAGCUCGUCUAAAUCUGUGACAAGGGCUACAAAUAAAUCAAACAGAGCUAAAAUUUGGGUUGGUGGACUUGGAUUAGACUUGUAUAAAGAGAGUAUACUAUAUGUAUUCAAACUUGACUUACGAGGUUAAGCUAGAACAGUUAUAAAUUUAUUUGUUUUUGAGAAAACUUGAGCUUAUAAUUAUGUUUGCAAGACAACUGAUCCUCAGUUUUGAAUCUUGAUCCAUUAACUUGUUGAGCCCUGAGAGAGAGCUUGGCUUUGAUAUAGUUUUCCAAUUUCAUAGAAUCAGACAUCCAAAUAAUAAGCCAAGAUCAAGUUCUUUUUAACAAUUAUCUCAAGGUGAACUUCGACGACAAUGUUGGCGAGGGAGGGUAUACUGGAGGUGUGGGCUUCGUCAUCAGGGAUUGCAGGGGCUAGACUGGUUACGGCGGAGGGCUGACGGAUUUUCGACACGUCUGUGGUCUGUGCUAAACUUAAUGCUGCAUGGAAGGAAGUUACCUAUGCGAGGCAGAUACUAGGAGUGGAUUGUAUUAUGCUCGAGAGAGACUCACUUGGCCACAAUGAUAAAGUGGAAACGGGGCCGGGGUCUCGACGCGAAUUCGAGCCUCCUGCUACGCGAUAUUCACAGAUUCUUAGAUGAGGAUGGUCUCUCGUGGGCCACAUAUGUCUACAAGAAGGCGAAUAGCGCGGCUGACUGGGUGGUCUCAUUUGCAGCCCACCACUUUGGAGGCUUCACCUGGGGCGACCAUGCGUCAGUGCCUCAUUUCUUGUGUUAUCUUCUUUUUUCUGAUUUUAUUGGCUGCACCCAUGCCCAAUGAGUGUGAGCUGCCGUUGUAUAAAAAAAAAAUUGUAUCCUAAAUGUCAAUCGUCAGCAUGUUGAUGAUUAAAUGAAUUGACAAAUCAAUAAAGUAUUUUUUGGCAUUAUUCAUCAUUUUACAUCUUCAAAUGAACUCUUAUAUGAUGAAGUCCUUAGGACUUAUUAAUGAUAAAGGAGGAUUUAUCUUCGAGUCCUUAAACUAGUUCGCGAUCAAAUGAUAUGUUGUUACAAGGACGACAGCAUUAUCAAGAUUAGGUCGUUGUGUGACAUAUACGUUGGUUGUUCUCUUAACCAAGAAGUGUGGAGACACUGGUAUGCCACACAGGUGAAGUGUAGGAGUACAUUUCACUGAACGUGACCAAUUCCGGAACGCUCUACUGUCAAGAGAUGUUCCGAGUGGAUAUGGGUAUAAGUUUGGCCCUCUGACCUGAUAUCGCAACCUAUGACUAGCAAGCAACUCACUGUACUUUGGUACCGGACUAUCUGAAUUUCUAAUUCAGUGACGGAAGGUCACUGGGUGCAGUCAAGUACUUGCGUAGUCAGUUGUGAGUCGAGAUGGAAUUGACGCCUCCUGGAAACAGAAGAUAAUGUUUUGUGAUUAAUUUAGCAAAACCUUGGCCAGGGUAAUCCCAGUGAGGAGUCACGGGAUAUCUAAAGUUAAUCACAUAAUGGAUGUACUAAUUAUAGGGUUGACAGUGAGCUCUAAGUCAUCCUGGCAUUAGGAGUUAAAGAGAUUGAAUUAUACAGUAACCAUAGUCCAGGGUUCCAGAAUAUUUGCUUCGCAUAUAUUCGGCCUAUCCGGACAUCGGGUACCAUUGCUAGAUGGUCACAUCGAUUAGGAAGACGUUCCUAUACUACCGGCUUAGGUUCGAACCUAUGAGGUCACACGCAUAGAAGUUUCUAGGUUGAUCAAAUGGCUGAUCGAUGAUUAAGAAUCAUUCAGGGGUAAUUUGGUCAAUUCGAUUGAUAAAUUAUCCUAAGCAAAAGUUGCAUUAAAAUAAUUAUUGAAUUAUUUGAGGAUUAAUUAGCAAUUAGAUUGCUAAUGAACUCAAUUUGAUUGAGUAAUUAAGCUUAGGUUGAGCAAAAUUGAAUAGGAUUCAAUUUGGGCUGCAUCAGGGUUUGACCUAAUUGGAUUGGGUUCAACCCAAGUAGAUUGAGGUUGACCCAAUUGAUGGGACUUGAUCCAAUUGGAUUGGGCUUGAUCCAAAUCAAUUAGAAGACCUUAUUUGAUGAGGAUUAUGAGUUCAAAUAAUCAGAAUUGGAUAAGGAGAAGAAUCCCUAAAUUUUAGGAACCCAUCCUUAUCUUCUUGGAGAAGAAUGACACCUUAAUUUAUCCCCAAUAUUUUCUAUGCCUAUCCUCUUUAUUUUUGGCCAAAAAUUGGCGUAAGAAGAGAGGAGGCGUGGGGCUAUAUUUUCUAUAAAAAUGGCGCCUUAAAUCUUUCUAGAAAGAUUUAGAUGAAUUUCCUAAUUUGUAGGAAUUGCAUGGUGCAUGAAAUAGGGUGGUCUGCGGCUAAACUUUGGACGCAUGAAUUCCUAUCUUUUAGGGAUUCAAAAUGCACAAAAUUUGGAUANNNNNNNNNNNNNNNNNNNNNNNNNNNNNNNNNNNNNNNNNNNNNCCUAGUCUUGAAUACGAGAUGGUCCAACAGAUAAAAACGCUUGAGAUUGAUGUUGAUUUGUUGCUAGACGAUGAGGCUGAUGCACAUAUUCUUGAUUCAGACUAUUGGUUUGUAAUGAAUUAACUCUCUUGUAUCUGAAGUCAGUUUUGAACCAGCAAUUGGCUGUUGUGUGUCCACGUUUAUAGCAGAUUUGACAUUCAGGUAGAGGUUGCAGAUCUCUUGUUCUACUGGUUGAUGACCCUGUAACAGGGAAUUGAAAAAAUCUGCCUCUACCUCAACUUCUAUUGAAGAAGGUUCUGCCUCUGCCUCGGCCUCUUAUAGCAGAUAAUGCAUAUGCUGGAUCUGAUGCAGCUGAGGGGUGAUUUUUAUUGUUUAUGAUAAGUUCUUCGCUACUGAGCAGAGCAUAGAGCUCAUCUAACGAUAUGUUAGAUGCUCUAGUGCGAAUGGCAGUGCUAAAGGAGUCAUAUGACUUAGGCAAACCAUUCAAGAUGUGUAAGAUCACAUCCUCUGGAUCUGGAACAGAACCGGCAGCUGAAAGGGCAUCUACCUUGGAUCUAAUUGAAUGGAGGUACUGAUGCAUUGGUAAAUCAUUUUUUCUGAUGUUAGACAGCUCGUUCUUGAGCUGAAUAAUAUGACUCCUAAUAGAGGAGUUGAGCCUCCGAUCUAAUGUCGACCAUAUUUGGUGAGUAUGUUCAAGAUUAAUGAUGUAGGGGAGAAUGGCAGAUGAUAUCGUUGAUGUCAAUGCCGUGGCCAACAAUUGAUCAGUCAGUAAGCUAUUUUGGUAAUCAGAUGCAGUAGGAUCAUCUGAUGUGAGUCUUGAAAAUGAGUUUUCAUCCAGAAACUCAAGAAACCCACUGGCUCGAAAUAUUCGGACAAUUUAUGAACGCCAUAUGAGGUAAUUAUCAGUAGACAGUUGAGAAGAUACCAGAAUGUGGAUUUUUGAUAAGACGAACUUGAGUUUUGGAGAUAAGAGGCGAUCAUCAUCGCCUCUUGUGGUAUCGUCUAUUCCUUCGGUGCUUGCUUGCCUGAUUUGGGUAGGAGGUCCUGAAUUCAUCUCUGGUUCUUCGUCUUCUUUAAUAUCAGGUAACGCUACCUCAAGAUGGAUUCGAGGCAUAUGAUGAUCAUCUAACCAGUUUUACUGAAAGUGAAAACCGGUGUUACUGAUUUUGCCAGAUGAAGAAAAAA
RNAcentral lists this long non-coding RNA (7789 nucleotides) under Phoenix dactylifera (date palm). Its description in RNAcentral is "long non-coding RNA (PDAC_LNC003923)". The record is from RNAcentral. Lineage: Eukaryota; Viridiplantae; Streptophyta; Magnoliopsida; Arecales; Arecaceae.